AACGAACGCUGGCGGCGUGCCUAACACAUGCAAGUCGAACGAGACCUUCGGGUCUAGUGGCGCACGGGUGCGUAACGCGUGGGAAUCUGCCCCUCGGUUCGGAAUAACAGUUAGAAAUGACUGCUAAUACCGGAUAAUGACUUCGGUCCAAAGAUUUAUCGCCGAGGGAUGAGCCCGCGUAAGAUUAGGUAGUUGGUGGGGUAAAGGCCUACCAAGCCGACGAUCUUUAGCUGGUCUGAGAGGAUGAUCAGCCACACUGGGACUGAGACACGGCCCAGACUCCUACGGGAGGCAGCAGUGGGGAAUAUUGGACAAUGGGCGAAAGCCUGAUCCAGCAAUGCCGCGUGAGUGAUGAAGGCCUUAGGGUUGUAAAGCUCUUUUACCAGGGAUGAUAAUGACAGUACCUGGAGAAUAAGCUCCGGCUAACUCCGUGCCAGCAGCCGCCGUAA
RNAcentral lists this ribosomal RNA (449 nucleotides) under uncultured bacterium. RNAcentral's name for it is "partial 16S ribosomal RNA". It matches the Rfam family "Bacterial small subunit ribosomal RNA", at positions 29 to 523 of the family's 1533-position model. The record is from RNAcentral.